RNAcentral lists this transfer RNA (61 nucleotides) under Grandidierella rubroantennata. RNAcentral describes it as "tRNA-Thr". The record is from RNAcentral. Lineage: Eukaryota; Metazoa; Arthropoda; Malacostraca; Amphipoda; Corophiidae.
GCUAAAAUAGUUUAAGAAAAACAACAAUUUUGUAAAUUGUAAUUGAAUGGUUCUUUUAGUU